UACGAGUGGUGCAAGCGUUAUUCGGAGUGAUUGGGUGUAAAGGGUGCGCAGACGGCAUGUUAAGUCAAUCGUUAAAUUCCCUGGCCUAACUGGGGGCAAGCGGUAGAUACUGGUGUGCUAGAGGGUGGAAGAGAGGGGUGGAAUUCUCGGAGUAGCGGUAAAAUGCGUAGAUCUCGAGAGGAACACCAAUGGCGAAAGCAGCUCCUUGGUCCAUUUCUGACGUUCAGGCACGAAAGCGUGGGGAGCAAACAGG
RNAcentral lists this ribosomal RNA (253 nucleotides) under uncultured bacterium. RNAcentral's name for it is "partial 16S ribosomal RNA". It matches the Rfam family "Bacterial small subunit ribosomal RNA", at positions 524 to 776 of the family's 1533-position model. The record is from RNAcentral.